UACGUAGGGUGCAAGCGUUGUCCGGAAUUAUUGGGCGUAAAGAGCUCGUAGGCGGUUUGUCGCGUCUGCUGUGAAAACUCGGGGCUUAACCCCCGGGCCUGCAGUGGGUACGGGCAGACUAGAGUGCGGUAGGGGAGACUGGAAUUCCUGGUGUAGCGGUGGAAUGCGCAGAUAUCAGGAGGAACACCAAUAGCGAAGGCAGCUCGCUGGGACGUUACUGACACUAAGGCGCGAAAGCGUGGGGAGCGAACAGG
RNAcentral lists this ribosomal RNA (254 nucleotides) under uncultured bacterium. Its description in RNAcentral is "partial 16S ribosomal RNA". It matches the Rfam family "Bacterial small subunit ribosomal RNA", at positions 524 to 776 of the family's 1533-position model. The record is from RNAcentral.